UAUGCGAUACCGUCAAAUAAGGCCGAUAUCGGCCCAAUACUGACACCUCUUAUUGACACUCGUCCCUCCCUAUUUGUAGAGUAGCCGUAAAGAAGUUGUAGCAGGAGUGACAGCUCGGCAGUAGGCCAGGUGGAGCACAAUUAUCGGCCAAUCGGAGCUGAGAAGACGGGUCACCUGUAGGUGUUGUCUCCAAACUCUUGUUUGAGUGAAUUGAUGAUGAUUUUCUCCACCCUCUCAUCUGUCUUGGUGACCAGGUCCACUGUGGAGCUCUUUGUCGACACCUUGAUUUCGCUCUCGCCGGCUUUCCGAAUUUCCUG
Long non-coding RNA from Hippocampus zosterae (dwarf seahorse), 317 nucleotides. RefSeq lists it as uncharacterized. The transcript has 2 exons. The record is from RefSeq and is a predicted model, not a curated record. Lineage: Eukaryota; Metazoa; Chordata; Actinopteri; Syngnathiformes; Syngnathidae.